Molecule: ribosomal RNA, 505 nt
Filed under: uncultured bacterium
Lineage: Bacteria
Description: bacterial SSU rRNA
Rfam family: Bacterial small subunit ribosomal RNA
Source: RNAcentral
GAUGAACGCUAGCGGCAGGCUUAACACAUGCAAGUCGAGGGGCAGCGUGAUGAAGUAGCAAUACAGAUUCGACGGCGACCGGCGCACGGGUGCGUAACGCGUAUGUAACCUACCCUUAACAGGGGGAUAACACUGAGAAAUUGGUACUAAUACCCCAUAAUAGUUUGGAGGGCAUCCUCUGGAUUUGAAAGUUCCGGCGGUUAAGGAUGGACAUGCGUUGUAUUAGCUAGAUGGUGAGGUAACGGCUCACCAUGGCGACGAUACAUAGGGGGACUGAGAGGUUAACCCCCCACAUUGGUACUGAGACACGGCCCAGACUCCUACGGGAGGCAGCAGUGAGGAAUAUUGGUCAAUGGUCGGAAGACUGAACCAGCCAAGUAGCGUGAAGGAUGAAGGUUCUAUGGAUUGUAAACUUCUUUUAUACGGGAAUAAAGCCCACUACGUGUAGUGGUUUGUAUGUACCGUAUGAAUAAGCAUCGGCUAACUCCGUGCCAGCAGCCGACGG